This 414-nucleotide ribosomal RNA is filed under the name uncultured bacterium. Its description in RNAcentral is "bacterial SSU rRNA". It matches the Rfam family "Bacterial small subunit ribosomal RNA", at positions 358 to 772 of the family's 1533-position model. The record is from RNAcentral.
GGAAUAUUGCGCAAUGGGCGAAAGCCUGACGCAGCGACGCCGCGUGGGGGAUGAAGGUCUUCGGAUUGUAAACCCCUUUCGGGAGGGAAGAUGAGAUGGGGUAACCCAUUCGGACGGUACCUCCAGAAGCAGCCACGGCUAACUUCGUGCCAGCAGCCGCGGUAAUACGAAGGUGGCGAGCGUUGUUCGGAUUUACUGGGCGUAAAGAGCACGUAGGCGGUUGGGUAAGCCUCUUGGGAAAUCUCCCGGCUUAACCGGGAAAGGUCGAGGGGAACUACUCAGCUAGAGGACGGGAGAGGAGCGCGGAAUUCCCGGUGUAGCGGUGAAAUGCGUAGAUAUCGGGAAGAAGGCCGGUGGCGAAGGCGGCGCUCUGGAACGUACCUGACGCUGAGGUGCGAAAGCGUGGGGAGCAAA